GCAUAAUCACUAGUUUUUUAAUUGAAAGCUUGAAUGAAGGGUUGGACGAGAAGUUAGCUGUCUUUAUUAAAAAAAUAGAAUUUAACUUUUAAGUGAGAGGGCUUAAAUAUUUUAGGGGGACGAUAAGACCCUAUAAAAUUUAACAAUUGGGGGAUUAAUAGGGAGUAAGAUAAAGUUAAAGGUAUUAUUAGAGAACGUAUUGUUUUGUUGGGGCGACGGGAAUAUAAGUGAAUUAACUGUUCUUUAAUUAAAUUUCAUUAAUGUUUGUAAUUUGUGGUCCUUAUUAGAGAUGGGAAGAAGAAAAUUACUUUAGGGAUAACAGCGUAAUUUUUUUUGAGAGUUCUUAUCGACAAAAAAGUUUGCGACCUCGAUGUUGAAUUAA
RNAcentral lists this ribosomal RNA (382 nucleotides) under Engaewa similis. Its description in RNAcentral is "partial 16S large subunit ribosomal RNA". It matches the Rfam family "Bacterial large subunit ribosomal RNA", at positions 1959 to 2540 of the family's 2925-position model. Lineage: Eukaryota; Metazoa; Arthropoda; Malacostraca; Decapoda; Parastacidae. The record is from RNAcentral.